GACGAACGCUGGCGGCGUGCUUAACACAUGCAAGUCGAACGGAAAGGCCCUGCUUUUGUGGGGUGCUCGAGUGGCGAACGGGUGAGUAACACGUGAGUAACCUGCCCUUGACUUUGGGAUAACUUCAGGAAACUGGGGCUAAUACCGGAUAGGAGCUCCUGCUGCAUGGUGGGGGUUGGAAAGUUUCGGCGGUUGGGGAUGGACUCGCGGCUUAUCAGCUUGUUGGUGGGGUAGUGGCUUACCAAGGCUUUGACGGGUAGCCGGCCUGAGAGGGUGACCGGCCACAUUGGGACUGAGGUACGGCGCAGACUCCUACGGGAGGCAGCAGUGGGGAAUAUUGCACAGUGGGCGGAAGCCUAAUGCAGCAACGCCGCGUGCGGGAUGACGGCCUUCGGGUUGUAAACCGCUUUCGCCUGUGACGAAGCGUGAGUGACGGUAAUGGGUAAAGAAGCACCGGCUAACUACGUG
Molecule: ribosomal RNA, 468 nt
Filed under: uncultured bacterium
Lineage: Bacteria
Description: partial 16S ribosomal RNA
Rfam family: Bacterial small subunit ribosomal RNA
Source: RNAcentral